GCCUGAGGCGUCCCAAACAGGCCUGGCCUGCUCAUGCUUCUAUUUCUUGGGAAUUUUCUCCUGUUUGAUAAGUUCAGAAAACUCCGGAGCAAGCAACCCAUUUCCCAUAAAUGUCCUGUUCUGUGAUUCUGCCCUCCCGGGCCCUUCAACCUAGAGAUGAUGAGGCUGCCCCUUUUAUAAGGGUCUCACAGUCUGGGGACCCCCACCCCGGGCCUCUAGGGGUACAGGAGGGCCAGAGACUGCUGUUUGCCUUGAGCCAGACCCUUGGUCCUGCUAGGCCCCUGCCCUGGCUCACAAUGACCUAGGUCUCCGGAGACCCUUGGGAAUUCCCACCAGACCAGACCUUGCUGAGCAGGGGCCUGUGAUCGGCCAGCCUUUCUCAGUGCGGAAACUGAGAGGAGGGGUCAGGGCUGAGUCCUGAGCAAAGCCCUCUAAGCCUUGGGCCGCCCAUGUGCUGAGGUCUGGGGCAUCUGCCAGCCCCGGUGCACGGAGGCUGCAGGGUGGACAGUGGGGAACGCGCUGGGUGCUGUCGGCCAACAGCAAACCUCGAGGGAUGUCGUGGGGCGGGGCCUGGUGGGGUUUCCCACUCCCCGCCGUGCGCCCGACCUUCGUAGUUGAUCCUCCUGUCCUCGUCCCUGUUGGCCACCCGGAGCAUGGCCGCGGCUUCCCCACCCGCCGGGGGGGGGGGGGGGCAGUGGGCAGGUGACUCAGGAAGCACCUGAGCCGAGGGGGGCAUGGGCUAGUCAGGGAGCUGCUGGGCAGCACCCAAUGCUUCCAGGACGCCCCCUCCCUCCCCGCCUUACAGAUGGGGAAACUGAGGUUGGUCAGGCCCCACCUCCCACCGGGCAGGUAGUGGGGACUGUGGGCAGGGCAGGUAGUGGGGACUGUGGGCAGGGGGCAGGGCUCGCCCCGCCCCGCCCCUUCCGCACUUGGCUUACUCCGUCUCAUUCCAUUCAAUGAAGCCACUGUCGUCCUUGUCUAGGCUCUGGAAGGCCUUACGGGUGACACUGUCCAGCUGGCCCGAGGCCUGGAACUUCUGCAUGUACUCAAAGAACCCGAGGGACGUGCCCAUGGCCAGUGACCCCUUCAUCUGGGAGGAGAAGUCCUCAUCCAUCCUGGCCCUAGGGGUGGACACAGCCAGCUUGUGGGAAGUGUGCCCUGCCCAGCCGCGGGUCCCAUCCCCAGUGAACGCCACAAACCUCAGCAGAUGCAGGAGGGGCACGAGGCUUAAAAGAGCCAGAGGCCAAGGGGUUUGCUCAGCUCUCAGCUCCAGCCUCCCCGUGCCUGUCUCCCCACUGAGAGCCAGGAUGAUUACAGGUCCCCAGCAGACCAGAGUCUGUGUGUCACCAGCUCCUGCCAAGGCCAGCUGCUGCCUAGGCCAGGGUCUGGCGCAAGCAGAGGGCCAGGUGGGUGCCCCCCUGGCAGCGCCUUGUGGCCUGCCAGGC
Molecule: long non-coding RNA, 1445 nt
Filed under: Heterocephalus glaber (naked mole-rat)
Lineage: Eukaryota; Metazoa; Chordata; Mammalia; Rodentia; Bathyergidae
Description: lncRNA (ENSHGLG00100043601.1)
Source: RNAcentral